CCUACGGGAGGCAGCAGUGGGGAAUAUUGGACAAUGGGCGAAAGCCUGAUCCAGCGACGUCACGUGAAUGAUGAAGACCUUAGGGUUGUAAAAUUCUUUUAGUGGAGAAGAUAAUGACGGUAUCCACAGAAAAAGUCCCGGCUAACUUCGUGCCAGCAGCCGCGGUAAUACGAAGGGGGCAAGCGUUACUCGGAAUUAUUGGGCGUAAAGCGUGCGUAGGCGGCUUUAUAAGUUGGAAGUGAAAGCCUUUGGCUCAACCAAAGAAUUGCUUACAAAACUGUAGAGCUAGAGUAUUAGAGAGGAUAGAAGAAUUUCUGAUGUAGGGGUGAAAUCCGUAGAUAUCAGAAAGAAUAUCGAAGGCGAAAGCAUCUGUCUGGCUAAAUACUGACGCUGUUGCACGAAAGCGUGGGGAGCAAACAGGAUUAGAUACCCUGGUAGUCCACGCCGUAAACGAUGAGUGCUAGAUGUUAGAACUAUGUUUUAGCGUCGAAGCUAACGCAUUAAGCACUCCGCCUGGGAACUACGAUCGCAAGGUUAAAACUCAAAGGAAUUGACGG
This 557-nucleotide ribosomal RNA is filed under the name uncultured bacterium. Its description in RNAcentral is "bacterial SSU rRNA". It matches the Rfam family "Bacterial small subunit ribosomal RNA", at positions 338 to 916 of the family's 1533-position model. The record is from RNAcentral.